UUCUGAAACCCUUAGGUAGUAAAAUAAAACCAUCAUACGAUGGCGGUCUUAGCUUUUCAGAGAAACUCGCUUUAUAAUCGAAAUUACCCGUUAAUUUUCACUAACUUUAAAAACCUAUAUACCGCCGUACUAAAACAGUUAAUAUUCUAGUUUAAUAUCCUUAACAAAUAUAAAAUCAGGUCAAGGUGUAGUCCAUAAGCUAGAAAAAGUAAGUUACAAUAAUACACUAUUUAAGGAUGGAAAAUAAAAAUAUAGCUGAAAGAGAAUCUGUGAGUAUAUAUGAAUUAAAAUUUCAUAUUGAAUUAUAACGCAAAGAUGC
This 319-nucleotide ribosomal RNA is filed under the name Leptopholcus gracilis. Its description in RNAcentral is "partial 12S ribosomal RNA". Lineage: Eukaryota; Metazoa; Arthropoda; Arachnida; Araneae; Pholcidae. The record is from RNAcentral.